This 3113-nucleotide long non-coding RNA is filed under the name Ursus thibetanus thibetanus. Its description in RNAcentral is "lncRNA (ENSUTTG00000022935.1)". Lineage: Eukaryota; Metazoa; Chordata; Mammalia; Carnivora; Ursidae. The record is from RNAcentral.
AUGGCCCAGGCUUUCCAGGCUCGGCCCCUCCUUCCCUCCGUUCCGCCCUCCCGCCCUCCACCCUCCGCCCUCUAUGGACUGGAGCCACAGGCAGCUCAACUCCUGCCAGGGCAGGGCCUCAGCACCACCCACUGCCAGGGAGGCUGGGGUGCAGAGCCAGCCAGCUCUCCUCGGUGGGCGCCCGCAUCCAGAGCCAGGGAGCCCCUUGGUCUCCACUCCCUGCUCUGCCAGCGGGAAGCCUGUCUGCCUGCUGCCCUCUCCCACGGAGGCUGGCCCUGGACAAGGGGAGGAUGGUGGAGCAGCCCCUCCGCCUUCCCCUCUGUGGCCCCCAUACGGUCAGGAGCCUGGGGACUUGAGGAGGGAGCCGGCCAAGCCCGGAGCUGCCCCAGGGUGGAGCUGGAGCCAGAUCACUAUAAACACGGUCAGUUCCUCUGUUUGUCCCUCCCUCCAUGCGGUGCCCAGAGGGAAGGGGUGGCCCCGGGCAAAUAUCCGGAGGUGUGUCCCUCCAUCCCCUUCCCCUGCACGGUCACACGGUCACACGCACGGAGGGCAGGAUACACGGGGGGCUGGCUGCAGUGUGCAGAGGCGGCUUGGGGUUUAGGGGUGAGGGUUCUGAGGAGGCGGCCCCGUGGUCCGGCUGCCUCCCGCCCACCCCGUCGUGGUGCUGAGCUCCUCCCACCGCAGGGUCUGCCCCUCCCUUUCCCGGGUUUAGUGAGGGGUCACGUGGCCGAUCCUACUCCCCAGAGUGACUCGGUGCCUCAGGCUGUGGGCUGCAGGGUGGAGGAUGGGUAGGGCCGAGUGAGAGAGGCCAAGGUGAGGGGUGAGGCCGGGCCUGGGGCCAGGUGGGGGCACCUCUAGGAGCACGGUGAGGAGGUAGAGGCAGAGUUCUGGGGUGACAGCAGGGAGGAUGGGGGAAGGUCCGGCUGUGGGAACAAAGUGAGGACCGGUACUAGAAAGGCAGACGGCUGAGGGCAGAGAGGCCAGGGAGCAGGAAAGGGGUGGGUGGGGGCCGGGGAGGGAAGUCAAGGCGGGAGGGAUGGGCAGCACCCGAGGGCUGGAACGGGGGAAGACACUGAAGGGGCUACUGGCUCGGUUGAGGGCAGAGGCAAAGGGGCCUCCAUCCUGGCCAGGGCUGUCACACCCCACAUCCCGGCAGCCAGGGGCCCGCAGCAACAGGGAAACUGGACCUGCUGGGGGAGCCCUGGUGGGACCUGGCUCCGGCCACCCGCUGCCCAAGAGGCCCCGACCAGUUGAGACAGGUUGUCUGCUGGGUCCCCACCCCCCUCCUGACUGGGCUCUGCUGCCAAACCGGUUCUCCUAGACGGCUACCCACUGAUGGUCCUACCUCUGGGCCAGGGGUGGCUGGCUGUUCCCCUAACCUCACAGAGCUGCUCUCACAGGAAAGGAACGGGGAGGGAGGAGAACCUGGGGCUGGAGGGCAGCAUCCCAGACACGCUCGAGAGAGUCCUCAGUAGGUCACAAGACUUACGGAGCUUGGGGCCGAGCCUGUGUUGGGCACCGCGCCAGGCUCUGGGGAGCCGCAUGAAGCCGACAAAGAUCCCGGCCCUGUGCCUUUCCCCUCAUCCUCUGGGUCUUAGCUCACACAGCCGCUCUGGUGGGCAGCCGUCCCUGACCCGCACCCUGCCAUCCCUCAGACUGGGUCUGGUCCUCCCUGACCCCAGCCCUGACCGGCCUGGGCUGUCGGAGGCGAUCUCGGCCUCGGUCACCGCCACGUCCCCAGCGUGAACCAGCACAGGGCCGGGCACAAGGGAGUGAGGGUUUAGCAAACGAAUGCACGGCCUGCGUGCAUAUUUUCUUCCUGUUUUCCAGAUGAGUAACUUGAGGCCCCAAGAGGAGACGUCACCCGCCCGAGGGCACUUCUAGCACAGCCCGCAUCAAACCAGGUCUGUGGGACUCUGGGGCCCAGGCGUGGGACGGGGGGCGUGGGACUGGGGCCCCCACCCCAGACAGUGCCGGGAGUACUCGUUAUCAUCAGAGCCAGAGGGGACAAGGGCCCUCACUCCGCGCCCUGCUCUGCUCCCGUUCGCUUGGUUGAUCCUCAGAGCAGCCCCGUGAGGGCGAGAGAGGCUACGUCGCUCGGCCCCGGUCCCGCAGAGUAAGGGGCAGAGAGAGAUUUGUGCUCUGGCCACUUGACUCACCCUGGUCUCCCUGUGGGACACACCACAGCGCAUCUCCCCCGCAGCCUGUUUGGUUUUAAAACUGGCUUUCAUGGAGCGUUUAUACGGUGCCUGGUACCAUCCAAAGUAUCCACCUGGAGACCACAGAUCUUAAAGACGGGGAUUGUUUUGUCUGUUAGUAUCUGCUGCGUGGUGGAACUUUCCCCACUAUGUGAUCCUGGUGAGGAACUUCCUUCUCUGAGCCUCGGUCUCUUGUCUAUAAAGUGGGAGUGUUGCAGUGGGGCUCCCCGGGACCGUGCAUAGGACAGGGACAAUGGAAGCAAUCAUCGAACAAUUGCUCGGUCCCUGAGCACAGGCUAGGGGCCAGGCGCUGUGCUGGGGGUAGGACACAGGCACACUGGGCAGAUGAGACCUGGCCUGUGAUGCUGAUAGUCUUGGGGGGGGGCGGUGUAGACACCCAGCAUUCUUGUGGUAAACACAAGAAUGAACAGUAGAAUUUCCAGAAGUUGAACGUGCUGUGAAACUUUGUGACAAAAGGCUAGAGGGGCACCUCCUUCACUUGGGGUGGUCAGGAAAAGAUUCACCAACAAAUCUGAGACCCCAGAGAGGGGAAGAAGGGAGCCACAUGUGGAUACUGGGGAGGAGUGUGCCACGAGGAGGGAACAGCCAGUGCAAGGGCCCUGAGGUUUGACAACCAGUGUGAAUGAAGGGGACACGAGAGCAGAGAGGGGACAGGGGCAGGUCGUGGGGCAGUGGGGCACAGGGAGGACUUGGCUGAGAGCUCUGAGUGGGGAAGGGCGUUCACGGGGUCUCUCGGGCUGCCUGUGGGGCACGGGAGACCAAGGAGGAGACGAGGAGUGACAGGACCCGGGACCGGGGCAGGGCCUGAGGAGCUGAGAGAAAUGGGCAGGGUCUGGUGAGCGGCCCCCUCCCACAGGCCUGCUGGCAGGAGCCCAAGUCUGCGCCCUCGGGGUG